RNAcentral lists this unclassified non-coding RNA (375 nucleotides) under soil metagenome. RNAcentral describes it as "partial contains 5.8S ribosomal RNA, internal transcribed spacer 2, and large subunit ribosomal RNA". The stretch from base 1 to 120 matches the Rfam family "5.8S ribosomal RNA", at positions 35 to 154 of the family's 154-position model. The record is from RNAcentral.
GAUGAAGAACGUAGCGAAAUGCGAUAAGUAAUGUGAAUUGCAGAAUUCAGUGAAUCAUCGAAUCUUUGAACGCAUCUUGCGCUCCUUGGUAUUCCAUGGAGCAUGCCUGUUUGAGUGUCACGUAAACCCUCACACCAGUGAUGUCAAAGUCUCUGGAAGUGGAUUUGGACUGUGCCGUAGUUGGCUCGUCCUGAAAUACAUUAGCCUGCGUUUUUUAGCGUGCUCGGCAUGGUGUGAUAAUUAUCUGCGCCGUCGCCUUAGGCCGCUUCUAUAUGCGCUGCUUAUAAUCGUCACUUGCGGACAGACACUAUAAAGCUCUGGCCUCAAAUCAGGUAGGAUUACCCGCUGAACUUAAGCAUAUCAAUAAGAGGAGGA